This 553-nucleotide long non-coding RNA is filed under the name Salvia miltiorrhiza (redroot sage). Its description in RNAcentral is "long non-coding RNA (SMIL_LNC002142)". Lineage: Eukaryota; Viridiplantae; Streptophyta; Magnoliopsida; Lamiales; Lamiaceae. The record is from RNAcentral.
GUUGGAACGUUAACAUUUGCUAUAUUCGGUUGAAUUUUUUAUUUAAGCUCUACAUUGUCCUUUUUGGAAUUUCAUAAUUGACACUCGAAAGCAAAAAUCAUUUUUAUAUUAAAAAUAUCCAACUUAUUCUAAAUCAACUUGCAAAAAUUAUUCUAAAAAAAAAACUUGCAUAAAUUAGGGACCAUAACACUCGGAAAUUCUCAAGUUUCAUAUAUAAAAAAACAAUACACUCUUUUACCACUAAUAUAAUUCAACUUAUUCAUACAUAUGAAAUAAAAAUGCCGAAAAUUUGAUAAAGAUAAAAAUAAAAUUGAAAAUAUGCUGGAUCUGUUAAUAAUGUGAAGGAAAAAAGAAAAAGAAAAAAAAAGAGUCAAAUAGAAGAAAUCCAGCGAGGAAAAGCCACGUGUCAGACGCCGACACCACCCAUUUAGGCUUUGCUGUGUCUGCUACGAGAACGACAAACCGACAGCACCCUAAGAUGCCACGUCACUAUUUACGCGGGACCCACAAGGAGACUCUGUAGGGUCCACGUAGGAAGACUACAAAGAAAAAC